RNAcentral lists this unclassified non-coding RNA (342 nucleotides) under soil metagenome. RNAcentral describes it as "partial contains 5.8S ribosomal RNA, internal transcribed spacer 2, and large subunit ribosomal RNA". The stretch from base 1 to 121 matches the Rfam family "5.8S ribosomal RNA", at positions 35 to 154 of the family's 154-position model. The record is from RNAcentral.
GAUGAAGAACGCAGUGAAAUGCGAUAAGUAAUGCGAAUUGCAGAAUUUCCGUGAGUCAUCGAAUCUUUGAACGCACAUUGCGCCCUUUGGUAUUCCAAAGGGCAUGCCUGUUCGAGCGUCAUUUGUACCCUCAAGCUUUGCUUGGUGUUGGGCGUCUUGUCUCUAGCUUUGCUGGAGACUCGCCUUAAAGUAAUUGGCAGCCGGCCUACUGGUUUCGGAGCGCAGCACAAGUCGCACUCUCUAUCAGCAAAGGUCUAGCAUCCAUUAAGCCUUUUUUUCAACUUUUGACCUCGGAUCAGGUAGGGAUACCCGCUGAACUUAAGCAUAUCAAUAAGCGGAGGA